CAUAAGUUUGUGAUAUGGGUCUCUAUCACUCCUGCAAAUCAUUGGCGCGAAAAUAACCCUGCAUACAGCCAGCCACGAACGGACUAAACCUGUAGCAAGUUGAGCUUUAUUUGACCGUCUCUGUUAUACAUUGACCCUUCUAUCUGUUGGCCUAUGGAUACUAUUGACACCUAUGAUUGUUGUGCCACAAUCAUAUAUCACCGACUGUGCGCUGUAGUUGGUAGAUCAAGGUUGAUGCUUCCGCUAGUGACCAAAUCGGGCCUGGGAUUAUACAGGUCGGACGACAUAGUUAGCGGUUCACAUUUAGUUCAUGCCUCCUGUAAAAGGACAGUAGGAGUCAUUAGCAAGCUUCGAAGAGACGAUAAAAUCAACGGGGAAG
Molecule: small RNA, 379 nt
Filed under: Histoplasma capsulatum
Lineage: Eukaryota; Fungi; Ascomycota; Eurotiomycetes; Onygenales; Ajellomycetaceae
Also listed under: 1 other name
Description: hypothetical RNA
Source: RNAcentral